Molecule: non-coding RNA, 72 nt
Organism: Mizuhopecten yessoensis (Yesso scallop)
Lineage: Eukaryota; Metazoa; Mollusca; Bivalvia; Pectinida; Pectinidae
Source: the annotation of a RefSeq genome assembly
GGUGGGGUAAUAUAAAAAGUAUAUUGGGCUCAUGCCCCAAUCGCGGAAGGCUGCGAUUCCUUUCCUCUGCCU